AUUGAACGCUGGCGGCAGGCCUAACACAUGCAAGUCGAGCGGAUGAAGGGAGCUUGCUCCUGGAUUCAGCGGCGGACGGGUGAGUAAUGCCUAGGAACCUGCCUGGUAGUGUGGGAUAACGUCCGGAAACGGGCGCUAAUACCGCAUACGUCCUGAGGGAGAAAGUGGGGGAUCUUCGGACCUCACGCUAUCAGAUGAGCCUAGGUCGGAUUAGCUAGUUGGUGGGGUAAAGGCCUACCAAGGCGACGAUCCGUAACUGGUCUGAGAGGAUGAUCAGUCACACUGGAACUGAGACACGGUCCAGACUCCUACGGGAGGCAGCAGUGGGGAAUAUUGGACAAUGGGCGAAAGCCUGAUCCAGCCAUGCCGCGUGUGUGAAGAAGGUCUUCGGAUUGUAAAGCACUUUAAGUUGGGAGGAAGGGCAGUAAGUUAAUACCUUGCUGUUUUGACGUUACCAACAGAAUAAGCACCGGCUAACUUCGUG
Molecule: ribosomal RNA, 484 nt
Filed under: uncultured bacterium
Lineage: Bacteria
Description: partial 16S ribosomal RNA
Rfam family: Bacterial small subunit ribosomal RNA
Source: RNAcentral